Molecule: small RNA, 642 nt
Filed under: Caenorhabditis elegans
Lineage: Eukaryota; Metazoa; Nematoda; Chromadorea; Rhabditida; Rhabditidae
Description: Unclassified non-coding RNA B0511.20
Source: RNAcentral
GUUCUUGGUGGUCUGAACAAUGGAGCAUCCUCGAAGAAUGUAGGUGGGAGAAGGCAGCCAACUGGUGGAGGAGGACUUGAUGAAAAUAUUCCUGUAAUUGAAAUUCGAGGAGAAGGAGCUCCGAUGAGCUCAGCUCAAAUUAGACAUUUAGAGGAGAUGGAUAAUGGUGGUCCAUUGGAUAUUAAGGUGAGUUUUAUGUGUAUAAUUACGCUUACUUGGAGUUUCCUACUUAUUGUAACUAGGUACUACCCGGGACACAACUUACCCCUUUUUCCAAAAACAUCUGUGUUUCCAUCACAUAACUAAAUUAAAAAAAAAUAAAUGUAAGGUUUUGAUACCUGCAAAUUUGAUUUUAAUGAUUCAAAAUAACUGCAUUUCCAGUGCGACUCAACUUCUUUCAAAAACAACAGUCAAGUUUUCAGAUCGAAAAAACGUUUGUGCCAGCCAAGUGCCCUCAACAAGCAAAACGACUGGACUUUGUAACUUUCCAUUACAAGGUAACAAAUGCACACUUCUGAAAACAUUUUUGAUUUCAAUUUCCAGGUGUUCACAGAAGAUAACAAAAAAGUAUAUCAAACAUAUGGAACUGGUCCAGUCACAAUUCAACUUGGAACUGGAAUGAUUAUGCCAGGACUUGAUAAG